AACGAACGCUGGCGGCAGGCCUAACACAUGCAAGUCGAACGCUCCGCAAGGGGAGUGGCGCACGGGUGAGUAACACGUGGGAACCUACCUUCUGGUACGGAACAACCAAGGGAAACUUUGGCUAAGACCGUAUACGACCUCCGGGUGAAAGAUUGAUCGCCGGAAGAGGGGCCCGCGUCCGAUUAGGUAGUUGGUGAGGUAACGGCUCACCAAGCCUUCGAUCGGUAGCUGGUCUGAGAGGAUGACCAGCCACACUGGGACUGAGACACGGCCCAGACUCCUACGGGAGGCAGCAGUGGGGAAUCUUGCGCAAUGGGCGAAAGCCUGACGCAGCGACGCCGCGUGAGGGAUGACGGCCUGGUGUAA
RNAcentral lists this ribosomal RNA (366 nucleotides) under uncultured bacterium. RNAcentral describes it as "bacterial SSU rRNA". It matches the Rfam family "Bacterial small subunit ribosomal RNA", at positions 29 to 428 of the family's 1533-position model. The record is from RNAcentral.